This 418-nucleotide ribosomal RNA is filed under the name uncultured prokaryote. RNAcentral describes it as "bacterial SSU rRNA". It matches the Rfam family "Archaeal small subunit ribosomal RNA", at positions 455 to 873 of the family's 1478-position model. The record is from RNAcentral.
GUGCCAGCAGCCGCGGUAAUACCAGCUCUCCGAGUGGUAGGGAUGAUUAUUGGGCUUAAAGCGUGCGUAGCCGGCUUGACAAGUCUUCUGUUAAAUCCAGCAACCCAAUUGUUGGACUGCGGGAGAUACUGUCUAGCUAGAGAACGGGAGAAGCCGACGGUACUCUCAGGGUAGGAGUGAAAUCCUAUAAUCCUGGGAGGACCACCAGUGGCGUAGGCUGUCGGCUAGAACGUGUCUGACGGUGAGGAACGAAAGCUUGGGGAGCGAACCGGAUUAGAUACCCGGGUAGUCCAAGCUGUAAACGAUGCGGGCUAGGUGUUGGGGUGGCUACGUGCCACUUCAGUGCCGCAGGGAAACCGUUAAGCCCGCCGCCUGGGGAGUACGGUCGCAAGGCUGAAACUUAAAGGAAUUGACGGGG